UGAGGAAUAUUGGUCAAUGGGCGUAAGCCUGAACCAGCCAAGUCGCGUGAGGGAAGACGGCCCUAUGGGUUGUAAACCUCUUUUGUCGGGGAGCAAAGCCGCCCACGUGUGGGCGGAAGGAGAGUACCCGAAGAAAAAGCAUCGGCUAACUCCGUGCCAGCAGCCGCGGUAAUACGGAGGAUGCGAGCGUUAUCCGGAUUUAUUGGGUUUAAAGGGUGCGUAGGCGGCAUGGUAAGUCAGCGGUCAAAUCGAGGGGCUCAACCCCUUUCCGCCGUUGAAACUGCCGUGCUUGAGUGGGCGAGAAGUAUGCGGAACGCGUGGUGUAGCGGUGAAAUGCAUAGAUAUCACGCAGAACUCCGAUUGCGAAGGCAGCAUACCGGCGCCCGACUGACGCUGAGGCACGAAAGCGUGGGGAUCGAACAGGAUUAGAUACC
Molecule: ribosomal RNA, 434 nt
Filed under: uncultured bacterium
Lineage: Bacteria
Description: bacterial SSU rRNA
Rfam family: Bacterial small subunit ribosomal RNA
Source: RNAcentral